RNAcentral lists this ribosomal RNA (472 nucleotides) under uncultured bacterium. RNAcentral describes it as "bacterial SSU rRNA". It matches the Rfam family "Bacterial small subunit ribosomal RNA", at positions 36 to 507 of the family's 1533-position model. The record is from RNAcentral.
CUGGCGGCGUGCCUAAACACAUGCAAGUCAACUUGACUGAAGGAGCAAUCUGACAGUAGAGUGGCGCAAGGGUGCGUAACGCGUAAGUAACUUGCCCAAGGUAAGGAAUAACGUCGAGAAAUCGGCGCUAAUACCUCAUAAUGCAGCGGAUCCGCAUGGAUAUGUUGUUAAAGGUUUACCGCCUUGGGAUAGGCUUGCGUCUGAUUAGCUAGUUGGUGUGGUAACGGCACACCAAGGCUACGAUCAGUAACUGGUCUGAGAGGAUGAUCAGUCACACUGGAACUGAGACACGGUCCAGACUCCUACGGGAGGCAGCAGUGAGGAAUAUUGGGCAAUGCUCGAAAGAGUGACCCAGCAACGCCGCGUGGAGGAUGAAGGUAUUCUAUAUCGUAAACUCCUGUGAGAGCAGACGAAAGACAGAUUAUUAAUCUGGAUGACUGUAUGCUCAGAGGAAGCCCCGGCUAACUACGUG